AGUCCGGCGAACUCCCUGGUGGCUGCCUAGCUGCCCGCCCGGGCCUCUCCCGACGAGGGUGGCCCUGAGGCUCGCCUUUGUCCUGGAGGCUAGGCAGCGACCAAGGCUCCCCCGUUUUUCGCUGACGGUUCUAGUUCAGCCUCCUCACGCGCCUCCGGGAGCCCCAGUGCUCACCUGGGCGGCGGCGGUCACACCCGAUAACUGACAGGCCCGCAGCAUCUCGGUCAAGCGGACGGCGCUGCUGGUGGACUCGAGCUGCCGCGGCGGCGCGAGUUAAGUGGAGGCGUGCUUGCGUGUGUGCGUGCCCGCGUCCGCGCCCGGCGCACCGGAAGCACAGCGGACGCCACUGCGCACGCGCGGCCCCUUCUACCGUCCCCGACUCCGCGGCUCUUAGAGGGUGGGCUGUGUCCCGGCUGCGGAAACGCCAACUCCAGGCGAUUGGCGCGAAGGAGGCGAAAAGGGCGGAUUCCCUUUCCGGGUCGCGCCCGGGCUGCAGGUCCUUAUCCGGAAGGGGUUACUAGGUGAACACUGCCGGAGGGAGAGCGCUCUGAAAUCCAUUCUUCAGCCGCACGUGGAAAAUGGACAGCUGUGACUCUUAAAGAGAAUUAAAGCAACAAAGCAUCU
Molecule: long non-coding RNA, 624 nt
Filed under: Homo sapiens (human)
Lineage: Eukaryota; Metazoa; Chordata; Mammalia; Primates; Hominidae
Description: HSALNT0304002
Source: RNAcentral